CCAGACUCCUACGGGAGGCAGCAGUGAGGAAUAUUGGUCAAUGGCCGGAAGGCUGAACCAGCCAAGUCGCGUGAGGGAAUAAGGCCCUAUGGGUCGUAAACCUCUUUUGUCAGGGAGCAAAGGCGUCCACGUGUGGACGAGAGGAGAGUACCUGAAGAAAAAGCAUCGGCUAACUCCGUGCCAGCAGCCGCGGUAAUACGGAGGAUGCGAGCGUUAUCCGGAUUUAUUGGGUUUAAAGGGUGCGUAGGCGGACGCUUAAGUCAGCGGUAAAAUUGCGGGGCUCAACCUCGUCGAGCCGUUGAAACUGGGUGCCUUGAGUGGGCGAGAAGUACGCGGAAUGCGCGGUGUAGCGGUGAAAUGCAUAGAUAUCGCGCAGAACCCCGAUUGCGAAGGCAGCGUGCCGUGCCGCCACUGACGCUGAGGCACGAAAGCGCGGGGAUCGAACAGGAUUAGAUACCCGUGUAA
Molecule: ribosomal RNA, 465 nt
Filed under: uncultured bacterium
Lineage: Bacteria
Description: bacterial SSU rRNA
Rfam family: Bacterial small subunit ribosomal RNA
Source: RNAcentral